This 201-nucleotide long non-coding RNA is filed under the name Manihot esculenta (cassava). RNAcentral's name for it is "long non-coding RNA (MESC_LNC012115)". Lineage: Eukaryota; Viridiplantae; Streptophyta; Magnoliopsida; Malpighiales; Euphorbiaceae. The record is from RNAcentral.
UAUAUUCAGAAUUCAUAGCCAAUCCAUUUAAUGCUCUAUCUGAUUUCUGGUUCUUCUGAUACACUCUUACACAAUUCAUCUAAAAUUCAGGGCUCUUACAUAUUCUGGCAACACAAUUUAUAUAAAAACUGAUUUCUCAGGAAAAAAAGGGAAAAUUAUGUUAUUUGCAUUGAAUGAACAAAUGAUUAGCAUAAUAGCAAA